RNAcentral lists this ribosomal RNA (410 nucleotides) under Alishewanella sp. RNAcentral's name for it is "bacterial SSU rRNA". It matches the Rfam family "Bacterial small subunit ribosomal RNA", at positions 1014 to 1422 of the family's 1533-position model. Lineage: Bacteria; Pseudomonadati; Pseudomonadota; Gammaproteobacteria; Alteromonadales; Alteromonadaceae. The record is from RNAcentral.
UUCCCCUUUUAGGGGACAGAGUACCAGGUGGUGCAUGGUGGUCUUCAGCUGGUUUCGUGAGAUGUUGGGUAAAUUCCCGCAACGAGCGCACCCCUUGUUUUUAGUUCCCACCAUUCAGUUGGCCAUUUUAAGGGGACUCCCGGGGCCAACCCGGAGAAAGGGGGGGAGGACGUCAAUUCUUCAUCCCCCUUAUGCCUUGGGUUACACACGUGUUCCAAUGGAUGGUACAAAGGGCGCCAAGCCCGGGAGGUUUAGCCAAUCCCAAAAACCCAUUUUCAGUUCGGAUUGCAGGCGCAAAUUCGCCUGCAUGAAGCCGGAAUCGCUAGUAAUCGCGGAUCAGCAUGCCGCGGUGAAUACGUUCCCGGCCCUUGUACACACCGCCCGUCACACCACGAGAGUUGUACCACCCG